Molecule: small RNA, 107 nt
Filed under: Salvator merianae (Argentine black and white tegu)
Lineage: Eukaryota; Metazoa; Chordata; Lepidosauria; Squamata; Teiidae
Description: 7SK RNA (ENSSMRG00000004944.1)
Rfam family: 7SK RNA
About the family: 7SK was discovered as an abundant small nuclear RNA in the mid-70s but a possible function has only recently been suggested. Two independent studies have found that 7SK RNA binds the CDK9/cyclin T complex (known as elongation factor P-TEFb).
Source: RNAcentral
GAUGUGAGGGUGAUCUGACUGUGACAUCUGUCACCCCAUGGAUUUCCAGGAUUGGUUCAGGCUGAUCUGCCUGGCUAGAUAGGUGUCCCCUUCCUUCUUCAUCACUC